RNAcentral lists this transfer RNA (71 nucleotides) under Sphaerodactylus townsendi. Its description in RNAcentral is "tRNA-Ala". The record is from RNAcentral. Lineage: Eukaryota; Metazoa; Chordata; Lepidosauria; Squamata; Sphaerodactylidae.
GGGCCAUAGUUCAGUGGCAGAUCAUUUGCUUGGCAUACAUGGAGUCCCAGGUUCAAUUCCUGACAUCUCCA